This is a long non-coding RNA of Gasterosteus aculeatus aculeatus (three-spined stickleback), 1019 nucleotides long. The record is from Ensembl. NCBI's taxonomy places the organism in Eukaryota, Metazoa, Chordata, Actinopteri, Perciformes, Gasterosteidae.
UUUGAUUACAAUAGUUUCACUGGGUUUCAGCCUGUUGUUGAAUACACACACUUAAGAUGUGCAUUUAGUAAUCAAAUAACUUGAUUUAUGGACUGUGAGGAAAUUGCCGAAGUGAAGAGGGCUUGAAUCUAUCAGGACAGGAGGCGGAUUAAUAUUUGAUACUCCACACUGGCGACGUCAUGCAUUUGGCUUCGCUGCUCAAAACAACAGGACAUCAGUUGUACAGUCCCAGUCCGAACUGCCUGUGAUUACAGUAAACUCCGGCGUCGGUACAUUCCUGCUCUUCCUGGUUUUGUUUGCUGGGACCCGAGCGGGCUCGGGGACAGACUGGGGACAGACUGGCCCUAUCAGCACCGCCGGUCCAAACAUGCCCGCUGAUACCAAAACACAAAGUCUAGUCAUAACCAAACAGCCGGGGACCAGCAGGAAGGAAGCGAGCUCGGUCCGCGGAAGAGAAGGAGACGGCGUUCCGCCGCAUCAAUCGGUAACUUUCGAUGGUUUCAGGUGUCGAGGGUCACGCUUCAAAGGACUCGCUCGCACUCCAGAGGGUAAACAGUGACAUGGAUGUUUUGAAUAGCCGGCAUUCCUGGAGGCUUGCUCGCCAAGCUCAGAGAAACGGCUCCGGACCAGCAGACAUUCCUUCACAUCUGUAAUCCUUAAUACUACUCACUGGCAGGCCCGUACUGGACGGCGUACUUCACAUCAUGGUCUAGAUCUUCAUCGGUGUGCGGGCACACGUACGCUGGAUACGGUCUCUCCGUAAACAGCCACUGUCCUCUGCGCGACGCGGCGGAUCAAAAUCUUGAUUCGCCUUUCAGACACCUGACGAUGUUCAUCUGCAACCAGACGUUGUAAACAUGUAGCAGGUGAAUACGUGAUGGAUGGUGGCAGACCGGAGUCAAAGAGGACACAGGGAAAGUGUUUUUAUGCACGUCCACCGGGACCACAUACUGAGAUACUAGAAGUACUUAUCAUGAUGGAGCCAGACGUGUGGCUCUAAACAAUUAACUUUAGGAUAG